This 478-nucleotide ribosomal RNA is filed under the name uncultured bacterium. Its description in RNAcentral is "partial 16S ribosomal RNA". It matches the Rfam family "Bacterial small subunit ribosomal RNA", at positions 28 to 507 of the family's 1533-position model. The record is from RNAcentral.
GAUGAACGCUGGCGGCGUGCUUAACACAUGCAAGUCGAACGGGCAUUACUUUAUUUUGCCUUCCGUCCGUUUACUUUAAUUCUAGUGGCGGCCGGGUGAGUAACUCGUUGGUAACCUGCCUUAUCCACGGGGAUAACAGUCAGAAAUGGCUUCUAAUACCGCAUCAGCGCACAGAGCUGCAUGGCUCGGUUUUGAAAACUCCUGUGGUAUAAGAUGUACCCGCGUUGGAUUAGCUUUUUGGUGGGGUAACGGGACACCAAGGCGACGAUCCAUAGCCGGCCAGAGAGGGUGAACGGAGACAUUGGGACUGGGAAACGGCAGAGACUCCUACGGGAGGCAGGAGAGGGGAAUAGUGCAAAAUGGGGGAAACCAUGAUGGAGCGACGAAGAGUGAAGGAAGAAGUAAGGCGGUAUGUAAAAUGCUAUCAGCAGGGAAGAUAGUGACGGUACCUGACGAAGAAGCCACGGCUAACUACGUG